CCUACGGGCCGCACCAGUGGGGAAUAUUGCACAAUGGGCGCAAGCCUGAUGCAGCCAUGCCGCGUGUAUGAAGAAGGCCUUCGGGUUGUAAAGUACUUUCAGCGAGGAGGAAGGCGUUAAGGUUAAUAACCUUGGCGAUUGACGUUACUCGCAGAAGAAGCACCGGCUAACUCCGUGCCAGCAGCCGCGGUAAUACGGAGGGUGCAAGCGUUAAUCGGAAUUACUGGGCGUAAAGCGCACGCAGGCGGUCUGUCAAGUCGGAUGUGAAAUCCCCGGGCUCAACCUGGGAACUGCAUUCGAAACUGGCAGGCUAGAGUCUUGUAGAGGGGGGUAGAAUUCUAGGUGUAGCGGUGAAAUGCGUAGAGAUCUGGAGGAAUACCGGUGGCGAAGGCGGCCCCCUGGGCAAAGACUGACGCUCAGGUGCGAAAGCGUGGGGAGCAAACAGGAUUAGAUACCCGCGUAGUC
This 465-nucleotide ribosomal RNA is filed under the name uncultured bacterium. RNAcentral's name for it is "bacterial SSU rRNA". It matches the Rfam family "Bacterial small subunit ribosomal RNA", at positions 338 to 795 of the family's 1533-position model. The record is from RNAcentral.